Molecule: unclassified non-coding RNA, 212 nt
Filed under: plant metagenome
Description: partial contains small subunit ribosomal RNA, internal transcribed spacer 1, and 5.8S ribosomal RNA
Source: RNAcentral
UCUCCGUUGGUGAACCAGCGGAGGGAUCAUUACAGGAUCGAAAGACUCCUAUAACCCCUGUGAACUUACUACAAAUACUUUGCUUCGGCGGGUGCCCCGGGUCUCCCGGGGCGUUCAGCCCGCCGGCAGCCUUCAAAUUCUGUUUCUUUGCGUUGGCAUCUCGAGUAUACAAAAAUAAGUUAAAACUUUCAACAACGGAUCUCUUGGCUCUG